GACGAACGCUGGCGGCGUGCUUAACACAUGCAAGUCGAACGGUAAGGCCCUUCGGGGUACACGAGUGGCGAACGGGUGAGUAACACGUGGGUGAUCUGCCCUGCACUUCGGGAUAAGCCUGGGAAACUGGGUCUAAUACCGGAUAGGACCACUGCCUGCAUGGGUGGGGGUGGAAAGCUUUUGCGGGGUGGGAUGGGCCCGCGGCCGAUCAGCUUGUUGGUUGGGUGAUGGCCUAGCAAGGCGACGACGGGUAGCCGGCCUGAGAGGGUGACCGGCCACACUGGGACUGAGAUACGGCCCAGACUCCUACGGGAGGCAGCAGUGGGGAAUAUUGCACAAUGGGCGCAAGCCUGAUGCAGCGACGCCGCGUGAGGGAUGACGGCCUUCGGGUUGUAAACCUCUUUCAGCACCGACGAAGCGCAAGUGACGGUAGGUGCAGAAGAAGGACCGGCCAACUACGUGCCAGCAGCCGCCGUAA
RNAcentral lists this ribosomal RNA (478 nucleotides) under uncultured bacterium. Its description in RNAcentral is "partial 16S ribosomal RNA". It matches the Rfam family "Bacterial small subunit ribosomal RNA", at positions 28 to 523 of the family's 1533-position model. The record is from RNAcentral.